ACGAUCCAUAGCCGACCUGAGAGGGUGGCCGGCCACAUUGGGACUGAGACACGGCCCAAACUCCUACGGGAGGCAGCAGUGGGGAAUAUUGCGCAAUGGGGGAAACCCUGACGCAGCAACGCCGCGUGAGUGAAGACGUAUCUCGGUAUGUAAAGCUCUAUCAGCGGGGAAGAAGGAAGACGGUACCCGACUAAGAAGCCCCGGCUAACUACGUGCCAGCAGCCGCGGUAAUACGUAGGGGGCGAGCGUUAUCCGGAUUUACUGGGUGUAAAGGGAGCGUAGACGGCGUCGCAAGUCUGAAGUGAAAGCCCGUGGCUCAACCGCGGAACCGCUUUGGAAACUGCGAGGCUGGAGUGCUGGAGAGGUAAGCGGAAUUCCUGGUGUAGCGGUGAAAUGCGUAGAUAUCAGGAGGAACACCGGUGGCGAAGGCGGCUUACUGGACAGUGACUGACGUUGAGGCUCGAAAGCGUGGGGAGCGAACAGGAUUAGAUACCCUGGUAGUCCACGCGGUAAACGAUGAGUGCUAGGUGUCGGGGGGCAAAGCCCCUCG
RNAcentral lists this ribosomal RNA (550 nucleotides) under uncultured bacterium. Its description in RNAcentral is "bacterial SSU rRNA". It matches the Rfam family "Bacterial small subunit ribosomal RNA", at positions 276 to 842 of the family's 1533-position model. The record is from RNAcentral.